GUCCAACUCACACAGGACAUACCCGCACGAGGGCGUUUCAGAUGAGUCGGGUAGCUUGGGAAUGCUGCUCUAAUCGGUGGUAAAUCUCAUCGAAGGCUAAAUAGCGGCUGGAGACCGAUAGCGAACAAGUACCGUGAGGGAAAGAUGACAAGCACUUUGAAAAGAGGGUGAAAAGAGCCUGAAACCGUCACGGGGGAAGCGGAUUGCGUUGGAUUGAUGGGCGCUUGUGUGUUCAGCCUUCGGGUGCAUUGGCACAAGUGCUUAUCCGCUGUGAGUUUUCGGGGGUCGAUUUUGGACCCCUGGGGACUGAGGGCUCCCUUUUUUAGGUGAGGACAGCGGAGUGACGACGCGAUACGACCCGUCUUGAAACACGGACCAAGGAGUCUAGCGCGGGUGCGAGUCGGAGGGUGCAAGCCCGUGGGCGAAGUGAAAGCGAGUUUUAAAAACGAGCAGUUUGGGGCGGCAUAAGAUCGUUGAUCUUAAGACCGACCCGGAGCAGUUGCGCUGGGACCCGAAAGAUGGUGAACUAUGCCGGAGUAGGGCAAAGCCAGAGGAAACUCUGGUGGAGGCUCGUAGCGGUGCUGACGUGCAAAUCGCUCGUCGAACUUGGGUAUAGGGGCGAAAGACUAAUCGAACCAUCUAGUAGCUGGUUCCCUCCGAAGUUUCUCUCAGGAUAGCGGGCCGACAAGUUGUUUUGUGCGGUAAAGCGAAUGAUUAGCGCAUUCGGGGGCGUUUAGCCUUUGGGCGAUUCUCAAACUUUCAAUGCGCAAGGGUGCCGCUGCUUAAUUGAGCGGUACCGGUAAAAACGUCGGCCCUGUGGGCCACUUUUGGUAAGCAG
Molecule: ribosomal RNA, 838 nt
Filed under: Chondracanthus acicularis
Lineage: Eukaryota; Rhodophyta; Florideophyceae; Gigartinales; Gigartinaceae
Description: eukaryotic LSU rRNA
Rfam family: Eukaryotic large subunit ribosomal RNA
Source: RNAcentral